GACGAACGCUGGCGGCGUGCUUAACACAUGCAAGUCGAACGGAAAGGCCCUGCUUUUGUGGGGUGCUCGAGUGGCGAACGGGUGAGUAACACGUGAGUAACCUGCCCUUGACUUUGGGAUAACUUCAGGAAACUGGGGCUAAUACCGGAUAGGAGCUCCUGCUGCAUGGUGGGGGUUGGAAAGUUUCGGCGGUUGGGGAUGGACUCGCGGCUUAUCAGCUUGUUGGUGGGGUAGUGGCUUACCAAGGCUUUGACGGGUAGCCGGCCUGAGAGGGUGACCGGCCACGUUGGGAAGGAGAUCAGGCCCGGACUCCUGGGGGGGGAGGGGGGGGGGGAUGGGGCAGAGGGGGGGGAAGCCUGAGGCAGCAACGCCGGGGGGGGGAGGGGGGCCUUGGGUUUGUAGCCCGCUUGCGCCGGGGACGAAGGGGGAGGGACGGUAGUGGGAAAAGAAGCCCCGGCUAACUACGUG
RNAcentral lists this ribosomal RNA (468 nucleotides) under uncultured bacterium. RNAcentral describes it as "partial 16S ribosomal RNA". It matches the Rfam family "Bacterial small subunit ribosomal RNA", at positions 28 to 507 of the family's 1533-position model. The record is from RNAcentral.